Molecule: non-coding RNA, 101 nt
Organism: Chiloscyllium plagiosum (whitespotted bambooshark)
Lineage: Eukaryota; Metazoa; Chordata; Chondrichthyes; Orectolobiformes; Hemiscylliidae
Source: RefSeq, a predicted model, not a curated record
UGUUCUAUGUUCUAUGUUCUUCCAGUGGAUUAUUACAAAGCUUCUGCUAAGUGUCUGGACUUGGCCAAUGUAUCUUUUCAGUGUUUUCAGAUUCAAGUGGG